GUUGUGGUUUCGGUGUUCCUAACGACGAUUAUCUUCUGGUAGCGCAACAGGUUAAUAACUCUGAAAAAUCAAAACCGAAGACAACACUCAGAAAUGUUGACAUGAAUAUGGCUGCCAAGAGUGUACAACCCUCUGCAUUGCAUAUUGUUAAUCAUUCUGUAUAGAGCAGCAGCUAAUCAUGCGGCUAAGGAAAAGUAGAAGAUGAUGAUUCAUGAGUUGCGAUACCAGGAGGAUUUGAAGAAAGAACUUCAAGGUGCCACAUAUACUUCGUGUUACAAGUACCAUCCAGAUAUGAACAAAUGCCCUGGAGCAGAAGAGAAGUUCAAGGAGAUUGGUGCUGCAUACGAGGUAAUUCUUCUAGCACUACAUUUAUAUAUUCUCUAUUGUCAACUAUCUAUGAAGUUCGAAUAUUUUCUCUCUUUGUUCACUUGGUAACAAAGUAUGCAAAUAGGUUCUAUCAGAUGAUGAGAAAAGAUCUUUAUAUGAUCGCUUUGGUGAGUCAGGUCUAGAAGCAGAAAAUGGUGGACCCGCCAGUGCCUCAGUCAGGGAAUGAAAUCUGUUCCUGUCUUUUCAUUUCCACCAAAGUACUUUAAUACUCAUGCGCUGAGGAUAUGUGCUGUCAAACUUUGGUGCUAUAGAUUAGUGUUCCGCAAAACGGUCUACAUGAUGAGAUGAGCAAAGCUAUAGUGGUGCUUGAUGGGGUGAGCUAAAAUUUAAGGGAAAAUAAAUCUUUUGGUUAAGACUUUGUUAAAACAAUUAAAAUUAUGCUCCUUUUGUCAGGUCAAAAUUCUGUUUAACUCUUUGAAGAAAAUAACACCUUAUGUAUUGUUUGAUUUAGAUUGCAAGUUUCGUGUAGGAAUACUCAAUAGUUCAUCUUGCACUUGCUUGUGCAAGUAGUAGGAUAUUGGUAUUGCAUUUACUUGGAGUGAAUGAAAUUCAUUUGUUGUGUAAGUCAUUAGUUAGUUAUCUAAUGUACAAGACAAUUUAUAAUU
Molecule: long non-coding RNA, 992 nt
Organism: Vicia villosa (hairy vetch)
Lineage: Eukaryota; Viridiplantae; Streptophyta; Magnoliopsida; Fabales; Fabaceae
Exons: 5
Source: RefSeq, a predicted model, not a curated record